This is a non-coding RNA of Acanthosepion pharaonis, 111 nucleotides long. The record is from the annotation of a GenBank genome assembly. NCBI's taxonomy places the organism in Eukaryota, Metazoa, Mollusca, Cephalopoda, Sepiida, Sepiidae.
UUACGGGCAUAUCACGUCGAAACACCGGUUCCCGCACGAUCACAAGUUAAGCAACAUCGAGCCUGGUCAAUUCUUAGAUGGGGGACCGUUUGGGAAAACCAGCUGCUGUAA